This 518-nucleotide unclassified non-coding RNA is filed under the name Hevea brasiliensis (rubber tree). Lineage: Eukaryota; Viridiplantae; Streptophyta; Magnoliopsida; Malpighiales; Euphorbiaceae. The record is from RNAcentral.
UAUGUUCUUCUCUGGAAUUAAGAUUGUAACACACAAUUAAGAAGAUAUAAAGGAAUGCUUGUUACUGAAAGUUAAGCAAGCAACAGAUACUGCAGUAAACAAACACAAUAUGUUCAUGGCAUUCUGAUGGUUCACAAUAAAAAAAAACAUUAUAGAUUGAUAUGAUGAUCUGAUAAUAAAGGCACGCUGCCCAUUUAAGGUUCACUAGAGUGGGGUUGAGAAGGGGAAUUUACAUAAAGCAUCUACUCUAAAAACUCAAAACUGUACCAGUGAAGUUUGUGAACACAAGUGAUAAGACCUGCACAAUUAGACCAAGCAAGGGACACAAAAAUACUUAAGAUGUCUGCAAGCAUAUCCAUUAAUCAUAAGCAAGGGCAUCUAUUUUGUGGUAAACUGAAGUUUGAAGAAUCCAGUCAGUACAAACCAGAGCAAUCCAAGGCAUCAGAUGUCAAAUGGAGGAUUAUAAACAGAUAUUUUACUUCCAACUCAACAAGCUAAGCAUAUUUUCAUGAAUUAAG